Molecule: long non-coding RNA, 1038 nt
Filed under: Homo sapiens (human)
Lineage: Eukaryota; Metazoa; Chordata; Mammalia; Primates; Hominidae
Description: HSALNT0400822
Source: RNAcentral
UGCUCCUUGCCGGGGUGGGGGUCGUUACCGAGUGGGAACUUCUGCAAAUCCUGACUUUUGUCACUUCGCGCCCCGCACAAGAUGUCCUGCCGGCGGUGCGAUUGGUCCCGUUGCUUCGAGGGGAAACUGAGGCCACUUAGUCCGGGCACUUACCCGCAGCUAGUUAAGGACUAGGCUCUGAUGGAGACGCUUGUUACGACCUCAAUGGCCUGUAGAAUCUGGGAGGCCGCCUCCGACCUAAGCCCAAAAAGCACAUGAUCGGGCUCACAGGGGGCGGCCAGAGGUGAAAACAGCCAACGCUUUACAACGACGCUGUGCGGGGCACUUCGUGUGUGUCAUCCCGUCUCAUCCUCGGGUGAUAGGAACUGUUCAUUCGGGAAAAUUGCAAACAACUAAAUACCCCUCACCAGGAGCUGGCCCAUUAUAGCAACUCUGAGACCUCUCUACCGCAGGCUCUUAAAAUGGGCUUAACAGUGGAUGUAACUGCUUCUUUGCUGUGGCAGAUUGUAUUUUCUGAAGGCCCCAACAGUCUCUCCUGUCCCUCCUCCUCUUCUGAAACCUUGAUACUUCCCUAUGAAGAGGUAGGGUCUAAUACUUCCCUCCUUCAACCUGAAGCCCCGCCUUGGGCUUGUGACUUGCUUGUAACCAGUCAAAUACAGUGGAAGAGUUACUACGUGACUUCCAGGGCUAGGUCAGAAAAGGAUGCAGCCUCAGGGUUCAACACACACUUGGGCCUGGAGCCACCAUGCAAGAAGGCUGCCAUGCUGCGAGGGAGCAAAGGCACGUGGAGGGACAUACACAGGGGCUGUGGCUGGCAGUCCUGGCCUUUGAGUCAUCCUUGUUUAAGUGCCAGGCACACACGUUAACUACCUUUAGGUAAUUCCAUACCUCAGGUGUCAUGUCACCCCAAGCCCUUGAGCCUUCCCAUCUGAAGCCCCAGGCUGUAUGGAGAAGAAACAAGAUGUUCCUGCCACGCUCUUUCUGAACUGCUGACAUACAGAAUCUGUGACCAUAAUAAAAUGGUUGUUUUGUGCCAUU